RNAcentral lists this ribosomal RNA (497 nucleotides) under uncultured bacterium. Its description in RNAcentral is "partial 16S ribosomal RNA". It matches the Rfam family "Bacterial small subunit ribosomal RNA", at positions 28 to 507 of the family's 1533-position model. The record is from RNAcentral.
GGUGAACGCUGGCGGCGUGCCUAAUACAUGCAAGUCGAACGACCGCACGAUGAGCUUUCUCCUUUGACGUUAGCGGCUGACGGGUGGGUAACACAUACAUAACCUUCUUAUUUUUCUUGGGUAACUUCGUGGGACCGCUUCUGAUACCACCUAAUAUAUUCUACCGCUUGGUUCAAUAGUUCUUGACGCCUUUCCUGUUUCUUAUAGAUGGUUCCGCGUCGCAUUAGCUAGUUGGUAAGGUAACGGCUUACCAAGGCUACGAUGCGUAGCUGACCUGAGAGGAUGAUCAGCCACACUGGAACUGAGACACGGUCCAGACUCCUACGGGAGGCAGCAGUAGGGAAUAUUCCGCAAUGGGCGAAAGCCUGACGGAGCAAUGCCGCGUGAGUGAUGAAGGUCUUCGGAUCGUAAAACUCUGUUAUUAGGGAAGAAAAAAUGUGUAAGUAAACAUGCACGUCUUGACGGUACCUAAACAGAAAGCAACGGCUAACUACGUG